UACGUAGGAGGCGAGCGUUGUCCGGAUUUACUGGGCGUAAAGCGCGCGCAGGCGGCACUUCAAGUCAGGUGUGAAAUCUCCCUGCUCAACGGGGAGGGUGCACUUUAGACUGAGGAGCUAGAGGACGGUAGAGGGGGGUGGAAUUGCUGGUGUAGCGGUGAAAUGCGCAGAUAUCAGGAGGAACACCGGUGGCGAAGGCGGGUCUCUGGGCCGAUACUGACGCUGAGGAGCGAAAGCGUGGGGAGCGAACAGG
This 253-nucleotide ribosomal RNA is filed under the name uncultured bacterium. RNAcentral's name for it is "partial 16S ribosomal RNA". It matches the Rfam family "Bacterial small subunit ribosomal RNA", at positions 524 to 776 of the family's 1533-position model. The record is from RNAcentral.